Molecule: ribosomal RNA, 527 nt
Filed under: uncultured bacterium
Lineage: Bacteria
Description: partial 16S ribosomal RNA
Rfam family: Bacterial small subunit ribosomal RNA
Source: RNAcentral
ACUCAAAGGAAUUGACGGGGACUCGCACAAGCGGUGGAACAUGAGGUUUAAUUCGACGAUGAACGAAGAACCUCACCAGGGCUUGAAAUUCUAGUAGUAAUCCCGCAGAAACGUGGGACCUCCGCAAGGACUGCUAGGACAGGUGCUGCAUGGUUGUCGUCAGUUCGUGCCGUGAGGCGUUCCCUUAAUUGGGGUAACGAACGCAACCCCUGUCUCGUGUUAUAUGUGUCACGAGAGACUGCCCACCCUAAAGAUCGGAAGACAAUUUGUUGUCUUGUGAUUUUCAGGGUGGGAGGAAGGAGGGGAUGACGUCAAAUCAGCAUGGCCCUUUGAUGCCCUGGGCUACACUCAUGUUACAAUGGCCACGACAAUGGGCUGCCAAGCCGUAAGGCGGAGCUAAUCCCUUAAACGUGGUCCUAGUUCGGAUUGAGGGCUGCAACUCGCCCUCAUGAAGUUGGAAUCGCUAGUAAUCGUGGGUCAGCCAUACCACGGUGAAUACGUUCUCGAGUCCUGUACACACCGCCCGU